GUGAACUUACUAUUCACCUUCUUCUCCACACUCUUCCUCUUUCCUUCAUGAUUAAAGCCCUAGCGCCACCCCUCUUCACCAUGCAUCUUUGGCCACCCUCGCAAGCGGUACAUCUCCAUCAUCUCGACUACAAUCCUCUUCCGUUCCGAAGUUGAAGCAUCCACUGUACGCUGUCGAAGCCGAGCCCGUCGCGUGAGUCCUCGUCUGCGCCGUGUUCUUUACCGUCGCGAGUCACCGACCGCCUCAACUCAUCAGAUCCGAACGUCUCUCUCCGCACACAGUCUGUCACGUGAGUCCGUCGUCCGAGCCACCUUCUCGCGAAGCCAAGCCAGUUUUCCCUUCACCGAGCCAGUUUUGCGUAAGCCGUACGCGAGCCACGUAAAACCGAGCCACUUUCGUGUGAGCGUACGCGAGCCACACUCACUGAGCCAGUUUCGUGUAAGCCAUACGCGAGCCACGUGUAUCGAGCCAUUCUUAUGUAAGCCGUACGCGAGCCGGAAGUCCAAGACCCGAGCCGAAGCCCUUGCUAGCCGAGCCACCUUCAGUUUUAGUCGUCUGCAAUAUAUUUGAGCCCUUAGUGAGUUUUGGUUAGUUCUGGUUGGGUUUGGUAUGCGCAAAUAAUUAUUGUUUUCGGUCUUAAAAGAGUUAGCGCUGGAAUGAGUUGAAUUAUGUUGUUUAAAGGUUAAGGUGUGGUUUGAGGAAUUGAGUUGUGCAAAUUUCCAUUCAAGGUUGUAUUGGGAUCAACUUUAAACCUGCUGUAAGUUUAGAUAAGUUGGUUGCCUAAUUAAAAGUCGAAAAAAUUAUUAAGUUUAAUUUAUAAUUAAUUUUGAUAAUGUUUUAGGACUGAGUUUAUUGGGAGGAUUUAAGUUUAAUUUAUAAUUAAUUUUGAUAAUGUUUUAGGACUGAGUUUAUUGGGAGGAUUUGACUCUCAAUGAGAGGAGUACUAUUUCUUUUGCUUGUUUAGUGGUGUAACUAAGAGAUGUAUAAUAUGUAUAUUUGAGAUGACCUUAUAAAUAGUUACUUCGGGAACCAUAUUAUGAUUUAGAUACAAUAUUAUUUAUUGAGGCAUGUUAUGACCAAAUAUGUACUUUUGAGUUAUGUCUAACUGAGCUAAGAUGUUGAUGUUAUGAUAAGCAUGUAUAGGCUAUAGUGUUAUGUUAGUUUUGUCUGUUAGAGUCGUGCCGUAUGGGGGCCCCUCAGGUUACCACAUAUGUAUGCUUGUGUGGCUAGUUUGAGAUGUGAAUCCUAUAGGGUGAUUCCUUCGAGUUCACUGAGAGCCCAGAUGUGUCCCUACGGGACCAUUGGAUAAUAUGCGUUCGGGAGCGCAAUAGUAUACGGUACCAUGUUACAGGACUCUAACGAGAUGUUAAUAGACACAUAGUAAGACUAAUAUGAGUCUCUUACUGAGUAUAAAUUUAUACUCACUCCUUUAAAUGUUUAAUUUUCAGGUAAGGGUAGAGGCAAGGGAAGGGCAAACCGGCGAAUGAUAAUAAGUGAUUGAGGAUCACCAUAGGAAAUAAUUAAGUUUUCUUCCGCAUUUAUAUUUAAGUAGUUAUAUUUUCAUAGGUUUAUUUCAGAACUCCGGUUCAAUUACUUUAAGUAUUUCUUCUAUUUUAUGGGCCCAAACUAGUAUUUUGAUUAGUUAUUUUAA
This 1651-nucleotide long non-coding RNA is filed under the name Cucumis sativus (cucumber). RNAcentral's name for it is "long non-coding RNA (CSAT_LNC002335)". The record is from RNAcentral. Lineage: Eukaryota; Viridiplantae; Streptophyta; Magnoliopsida; Cucurbitales; Cucurbitaceae.